AUUGAACGCUGGCGGAAUGCUUUACACAUGCAAGUCGAACGGCAGCACGGGGCAACCUGGUGGCGAGUGGCGAACGGGUGAGUAAUACAUCGGAACGUGCCCAAUCGUGGGGGGAUAACGUAGCGAAAGUUACGCUAAUACCGCAUACGAUCUACGGAUGAAAGCGGGGGAUCGCAAGACCUCGCGCGAAUGGAGCGGCCGAUGUCAGAUUAGGUAGUUGGUGGGGUAAAGGCUCACCAAGCCAACGAUCUGUAGCUGGUCUGAGAGGACGACCAGCCACACUGGAACUGAGACACGGUCCAGACUCCUACGGGAGGCAGCAGUGGGGAAUUUUGGACAAUGGGCGCAAGCCUGAUCCAGCCAUUCCGCGUGCAGGAUGAAGGCCUUCGGGUUGUAACUAGCUUUGUUACGGAACGAAACGGUAC
Molecule: ribosomal RNA, 425 nt
Filed under: uncultured bacterium
Lineage: Bacteria
Description: bacterial SSU rRNA
Rfam family: Bacterial small subunit ribosomal RNA
Source: RNAcentral